RNAcentral lists this ribosomal RNA (297 nucleotides) under Stappia sp. prst3. RNAcentral's name for it is "partial 16S ribosomal RNA". The record is from RNAcentral. Lineage: Bacteria; Pseudomonadati; Pseudomonadota; Alphaproteobacteria; Hyphomicrobiales; Stappiaceae.
GCAGCCUGUCUGCGGGUACGUCAUUAUCCUCCUCGCUGAGAGCUUUACAACCCUAGGGCCUUCAUCACUCACGCGGCAUGGCUGGAUCAGGGUUGCCCCCAUUGUCCAAUAUUCCCCACUGCUGCCUCCCGUAGGGGGGCGGGGGCGGCGGGCCGGGCGCGGGCGCGGCGGGCAAACUUCGCGAGGCGCGACGGGCGAUGGAUCGGGCGCACCUCUCACCCUCCGGGGGGGGGGGGGCCUGGAUUUAGUUCUAGAAAAAAAAAGCCUUCUCCAAACACCCCUCUACUUGUCCGCACC